GUCAUGCCAUUUUUAAUUACCCAGUAGCAGCACUUUUUUUUUUUAAUUUAUUUUUUUAUAAGAUUAUUACACAGUCUUCUCUUUUUAUGUGAUUCAAGCCAUUUCAAUGGAAGAUCACCGUCAUCAAUGGCAUACCCCACUUCUCCACACUGCCGUUCGAUGCCGCUGUGAAUUCCUUGUCCUUCUCUAAUUUUUUCUUCACUUUGCUGUUCUCAGACUUCCAAUACUCACUCUUCUCCAAGGUCUUCAACUCUGAAAAUGGCGGAUCCUGAUUCUUCAGCAUACCCAGAUAGCGGUAUACACGUCGCUCUUCAUUUUUGCUGAAUUUUUCCAUUCCGGUAGUGUUUCUGGCUGCAAUUCAGUUGAUUGUUUUGUUCUUGUAGACGCUUCUUGGCAAGCCAUUCAAAGCUUGGAAAAAAUUGAUACUCAAAAGAUUAUUGAUCCUGUUUCCAAUGAUGCCAUUGACGGUAUAUUGUCUUCAAUUCCCAUUGACUGUAUAUUGUCUUCAAUUCCCACUUGUUUGCACUUGUGGCCUUCAAUUAGCAUAUAUUUAAUGGGUUUUCCAAGAAUUUGAUUCAACUCUACGCUCUAUCUCCCCAGAUCGCUCCAUGCUCGGUUUUUCUUUAACGUCUCCUGAUCUGGUUAUUUGCUCUGGUUCGCCUGAGAUACCGACGACUACCUAUGGAGAUUCCCCUGAAUUCGCGGAUAGGAACAAGUACAAGUGUUCUUUUGAGCUCUCUUUAGAGAAUGGUUUUAAGGUUACUGAUACCAAAGAUACCCAUAAAUCCACAUCUGUAAAGUUUUCUUCAAUAUGCCAAACAUUUGACAAGGAAUUGUCUCCUGAAUCUUCCCUGAAGUUCCUUAUAAAGCCAGAAAAGAAAGAGAAAUUCCUAGAAAAUCCCCUAUCUGUUUUGAGCAUCAAUGCAGGAUCCACUGAUGAGGCUGUGGUUUUGGAUUGUGCGGAGUUUUUGGAGGACAAUUGUUUCUCAGGUGGUGAUACUGUAAGGACAAACGCUACAAUUGGAGAUGGACAGGAACAUGGUCUUUCUCUGUACCAAACAGCUCGUGUUGGCAACUUCUCAUACUGGUUUUCUGGACUGGAGCCGGGGAAUUAUGCUGUGAGUCUGCAUCUUGCAGAAAUUGUAUACACAGAUGGCCCUCCCGGGAUGAGAAUAUUUGAUGUUUUUAUACAAGAGAAAAAGGUUGUUUCAUGCCUAGACAUAUAUGCUCAAGUUGGUGCAAAUAAGCCUCUGGUUAUAUCUGACCUUAAAACUUGUGUUUAUGGUGAGGAAGGCGUAUCCAUUAAGUUUGAAGGAGUAAAGGGAAGCCCAAUCGUUUGUGGAAUUUCGAUAACCAAAGAUUCUUCCGCUUAUGCUGGGGAAGCUCAAUUUUUGAAACCAAUGGGAAUAUUUAAUGUGCGAGAAUGCAACUCACCCAAGCAAGACAAUGGGGAGCAAGAAGUGGAAGGAGAUUAUCAGGAGCUACUUAGACAUAUUGAGUUUCAGAAAAGGGAACUAACACAGAUGAGGUGUGCAUUGGAGGAACUUAAGAGGGAAAAUCAACUUAAGAAUAGGGAAUGUCAAGAUGCUUGGAAAUCUUUACAGGAGCUCCAAAAUGAGCUUAUGCGCAAGUCUAUGCAUGUUGGGUCCUUGGCAUUUGCCAUUGAGGGACAAGUGAAAGAGAAGACCAGUUGGUUUUCAUCAUUGAGGGACAUGACUAGGAAAUUGAAGCUUAUGAAAAUGGAGCACCUAAAGCUAUCAGAGGAGGCAAUGGCCUAUAAGAAGUAUCUUGUGGAUAUGAAUGAAAUGAGGUCGACCAUUCAGUCCACAAUGAAGGAGCAAAUAGAUUUGCAUGAAGAUCUCAAGAUUAAAUUUUCUCAAGGGGCCAAGGAACGAAAGGAACUCUACAACAAGGUUUUAGAGUUGAAAGGAAACAUAAAGGUCUUUUGCCGAUGUAGGCCUUUAAAUGCUGAAGAACUUGCAUUGGGUGCUUCAAUGGCUAUUGAUUUCGAAUCUGCUAAAGAUAGUGAGCUCACUGUAACUUCAAAUGGGCUUUCCAGGAAAACCUUCAAGUUUGAUGCUGUUUUUAGCCCUCAAUCAGACCAAGCUGAAGUUUUUGAAGUCAUUGCUCCAUUUGCAUCCUCAGUUUUGGAUGGUUACAAUGUAUGCAUAUUUGCGUGUGGACAAACUGGAACUGGGAAAACCUUUACAAUGGAGGGUGUAGAAGAAGCUCGUGGAGUAAACUUUAGGAUUCUUGAGGAGAUAUUUCACAUAAUUAAGAAGCAACAUAAGCUAUUUCGUUAUGAUGUAUCUGUGAGUGUUCUAGAAGUAUAUAAUGAGCAAAUACGAGAUUUGCUGGGUUCAUGCUCCCAGCCAGGAGUGGCUGCAAAGAGGCUGGAAAUAAGGCAAGUGGCUGAAGGACAGCAUCAUGUCCCAGGGUUGGUCGAAGCACAGGUAAACAGCAUAAGUGAAGCCUGGGAAGUUCUAAAAACUGGAAGCAAUGCAAGGGCAGUUGGCUCAACUAAUGCCAAUGAGCAAAGCAGCCGAUCCCAUUGCAUUCACUGUGUGAUGGUGAAAGGUGAGAAUGUAUUGAAUGGGGAAUGUACAAGGAGCAAGUUAUGGUUGGUUGAUCUAGCGGGAAGUGAGCGAGUAGCAAAGACAGAAGUCCAGGGAGAGCGGCUUAAGGAAACCCAGAAUAUCAACAGAUCCCUAUCUGCACUUGGUGAUGUCAUAUCUGCUCUUGCAACUAAAAGCCCUCACAUCCCAUUCAGGUUGUAAUUUGCUAGCUAGUCUUUUAUUUUGAAUGUGCAAAUCAACAACCCAAUACAUGCAUCUUCAGUUUGAAAUUUUCUUGAUGUGUCCUUGGUGUGUAGGAAUUCCAAGCUCACCCGCCUGCUUCAAGACUCCUUAGGUACAUUUAUUUCUACAUUUCCCAGAGGAAAAAGAAAAGGAUACGGACAAGUGCAGUGACUGUUAUAGUCCAUAAUGGCUGUGAAAUUUCAAUUUUCUUUGUUCUUUUUUCUUUUGUUCUAUUCUAUUUCUAUCUGUGCAGAAUGAAAAUGAGAUGCUUGACGAAUUGAUUUAUAUUGAUCAGGAAGAGAUUCAAAAAAGCUCAUGUUUGUACAGAUAAGUCCCAAUGAGAAUGACCUGGGUGAGACCCUAUGCUCACUGAACUUUGCAAGCAGAGUUAGAGGGAUAGAGUUGGGUCCUGCAAAAAGGCAAUUGGACACUACUGAACUUCUGAGAUAUAAACAGAUGGCUGAAAAAACAAAACAAGACUUGAAGAGCAAAGAUUUACAGCUCAAGAAGAUGGAGGAAACAAUCCAUGGAUUGGAGUUGAAGAUAAAAGAAAAAGACUUAAGAAAUAAGAACCUUCAAGAGAAGGUGAAGGAGCUGGAGUCGCAACUGCUAAUUGAAAGGAAGCUAGCACGUCAGCAUGUGGACUCAAGGAUAGCUGAGCAACAGCAACAACAAAUGAAACUGCAGCAAGAUGAGCAAAAUAGUGCACCACUGAGGCCGCCACUUGCAAAUCGACUACUAGGAACUAACAAGAAUUUCUGUGAACCUAACAGUACUGAAGUGGGCGAAGAUCAAGUAAAUUCCAGUCAACCACUAGUGGAGAACAAUGGCUACAAACCUACAUUUCCCAUUCUUCUAACAGAUGGCAUUGCCAAGUACAUCGAUCCUACAGAAAAAGAAAACAACCCAGAGAUGACUGAACAACUAGGAUUGCCCAAGAGAACUGGCAGAGCCUCAAUUUGCACAACAUCACAUCGGAUCCCAGUAGCUCCAGCGCCAAGGCGCAACUCACUUAUUCCCCUCCCAAACAAGCCAGGUCUAGCACGGCUAUCACCUCCAUUACCACCAUCGUCAUUAUGCAAUGAUAUGAAAGAAGAUACAGGAGAGUCAGAAGCUAACUGCUUGCCAGAGCAAACACAUUGCAACAGUCCUAAAGGAAUAAAACAUGGGACCAGAAAGCUAAGCGGCAUAUUGGGUAGAAGCCUUCAAAAGAAAAUUCAGAUGAAAUCUCCAGCACAGCAACAUCUGAGAAAAGGAGGUAUAAAUGUUGGGAUGGAGAAGGUUAGGGUCUCUAUUGGAAGCAGAGGGAGAACGGCACAUAGGGUAUUGCUAGGAAAUGGUAGAAGAGCAGGAAUGAAGGAUACUCAGCAGAACAGGAAUCAAAGGGAAAAGGAGAGAGGGUGGAAUAUCGGAACAGCUGGAAGAACUGCAAUCUAAUUAUUGAAGAUUGUCUUACCUAUGACUUACAUUUCUUCUUCCAUGAUAGAAGAAGGAGA
RNAcentral lists this unclassified non-coding RNA (4294 nucleotides) under Hevea brasiliensis (rubber tree). Lineage: Eukaryota; Viridiplantae; Streptophyta; Magnoliopsida; Malpighiales; Euphorbiaceae. The record is from RNAcentral.